RNAcentral lists this long non-coding RNA (347 nucleotides) under Camponotus floridanus (Florida carpenter ant). Its description in RNAcentral is "uncharacterized LOC112637825". The record is from RNAcentral. Lineage: Eukaryota; Metazoa; Arthropoda; Insecta; Hymenoptera; Formicidae.
CGGGAGUGCCGCUAAAAGUAUCGCGCGAUUAAGACUGAGAGGAGGAGGAGGCCUAGGAGAGGCAUCAGGCUCCGGCAAAGCAACCUUCUGAUGUAACCAACCCAGAUGAUCUGAGAGGAGGAGCAGGCCUAGGAAAGGCAUCUUGCACCAGCGGAACAACCUGAUGACAACAUAGCUUCAAUAUCAAUUCCGCUGUUGCGCAUCAGUGCCGGUAAGUGACAACUUUUUAUUUUGAAGCAAAGGAUUUGUAAAUGCAUGAAGAAAUCCGUUGCUUCUAACUCUUGAUUGGCGGGACAAUACGUGUAAAAAUUAAAGUAAAAGAAAAAAUAUUUGUAAAAUAACAAUAG